AAUCUUAUAAUUUAAAUUAAAAUAUUAAAAUGCAAAUUUAAAAAUAUAUUAAAAAUAUUAAGAUUU
This 66-nucleotide transfer RNA is filed under the name Anterhynchium abdominale. RNAcentral describes it as "tRNA-Cys". The record is from RNAcentral. Lineage: Eukaryota; Metazoa; Arthropoda; Insecta; Hymenoptera; Vespidae.